Molecule: long non-coding RNA, 1712 nt
Organism: Panthera uncia (snow leopard)
Lineage: Eukaryota; Metazoa; Chordata; Mammalia; Carnivora; Felidae
Exons: 3
Source: RefSeq, a predicted model, not a curated record
AGCCCCAAACGUACCAGCCUGAGGAGGCGCCGCACCUACUUCCCGAUAUAACCAACUCCGGAGUGGGGGCGCGGAACUGCGAGGAGGCGGCAGCCAAAGUGCCAUUAAAGCUCGGGGCGGAAAGGAUGAGUUACCUGGGUCCCCUCUUCAGGGAGAAGCAGGGCAAGCUGGAGGAUUUCCUCUGAAUGAUUAAAAACUCCGCAAUUCUCUCCUGCCACAGGCUGAGUGGACUCAAGGAACUGCUCUAUCUGAACUGUGUUGACGGGCAGGAGGAUGGCAGACAGGAAUUGAGAGUCACAGAGGAAGGACAGGGGAGUCCGGCAUCUCAUUGAUAUUCUGCAUGAUCAGAUGUCUCCUACAUAUGAGAACUUCAAUACAUGUUUAAAAGUUAAGACAACUAUCUUGAUCUAACUUCAUAUUAACUACCUUUCUAAAGGGUGAAAACUUACAUGAAACACUUAAAAAAAAACACCUGAAGAUAAAGAAUACAAAGUGAAAGAACAGAGACAAACUAAUAACAAUUUUCUUCAAGUCCCAAUGUAUAUAAUUCCCAUAUAUACAGGUCUCUGUGUAUCCAUAUCAUCAAUCAUUUAAAUAAAACUGGUAAAGACUGAAAAUCAAAGAUUUUAUAUUUUCAUCUUGUCACAACCCUAUAUGUCUUUGAUGCUAUUUCUAGUUUCCUAUUUUAAAAAGGAAAUAAUAAAAUCUUGCUUGUUCUAUUACUUAUUUUAUUUCCAAAGAGUGGGUGAUGCUGUGAAUCUAGUUCAUGGUGUAUUAUGAGAUGAAUUAGUUUCUUUGAUAACUACUUUUUGUUGUAUAGCAAACAGCCAUUAAUUUAAAACUUGUAAAUUGGAAAUCUGGGACCAUUGCAGUAGCAUUAGGAGAAACACAUUCUUUCAGCAUGUGAUUACUUCCAUAAUUCUUGAGUAUGGAGAAUUACUGCCAAACAGAAUAGUCAACUUUCCCCGAUAAGAUGUAUUGACUGACACUUUAGUAGAAAAAAGGUAGAAAAUGAAAACAUUAUGUAUUUCAGAGAAUGCAUUUCAGAGAAUAAUAAUAUGCAUUUCAGAGAAUAUAAUUAGAAACACAAACUAAAGCAAUUGUGGUUUUUGUUUUUAUUUUUAAGAAAGUAAAGAAGAAAGUUGAGAAAUAAAAUAUUUUUAUCAUUUGAAAUAUAUGAUCUUUUGUGUUAUAAUUUGGUGGGGGAUGUUCUAUUCUUUAUUUAGAUUAACUCAACUAUUGGUAUUUGUCAUAAAAUAGUUCUCAUAUCAGAAUUAAUGUUUCAAAUAGAAAAAAAAUAGAGCAUUGGAAAGCCAUACAUUAAAGACAUAAAUAUUUAUUUUUAGUAUUUUUAUUAUUUUUUAAGUUUAUUUAUUUUGAGAGAGAGAGAGAGAGAGAGAGAGAGAGAGAGAGUGUGUGUGUGUGUGUGUGUGUGUGUGUGCGCGCGCAGGGGAGGGGCAGAGAAAAGGAGAGACAGAAUCCCAAGCAGGCUCCUGUAAGCUGUCAGCACAAAGCCUGACAUGGGGCUUGAACCCACGAACCACAAGAUCAUGACCUGAGCUGAGCUGAGAUCAAGAGUCGGACGCUUAACCCACUGAGCCACACAGGUGCCCCUAAAGAUUUACUUUUUAUUUUUAAAUGGAAAAAAUAAACCCAAAUGUGUGUAUGUAUAUAUAUAUUUCUUAACUAUAUAUGUUUUUUUCUUAAUAUAU